GGGAAUGUAGCUCAGUGGUAGAGUGCUUGCCUAGCAUACAUGAAGCCCUGGGUUCAAUUCCUCAGUACCA
RNAcentral lists this transfer RNA (70 nucleotides) under Dipodomys ordii (Ord's kangaroo rat). It matches the Rfam family "tRNA". Rfam says of the family: Transfer RNA (tRNA) molecules are approximately 80 nucleotides in length. Their secondary structure includes four short double-helical elements and three loops (D, anti-codon, and T loops). The record is from Rfam by way of RNAcentral. Lineage: Eukaryota; Metazoa; Chordata; Mammalia; Rodentia; Heteromyidae.